UGGCUCAGGACGAACGCUGGCGGCGUGCCUAACACAUGCAAGUCGAACGAGGUCCAAGGAAGCUUGCUUCCUGAAGACCUAGUGGCGAACGGGUGAGUAACACGUGAGAAACCUGCCUCGGAGUGGGGAAUAACUCGGGGAAACUCGAGCUAAUACCGCAUACCUUCACAUGAUCGCAUGGUCGAGUGAAGAAAGAAUUUCGCUCUGAGAGGGUCUCGCGGCCUAUCAGCUUGUUGGUGGGUAACGGCCUACCAAGGCAACGACGGGUAGCUGGUUUGAGAGAACGAUCAGCCACACUGGGACUGAGACACGGCCCAGACUCCUACGGGAGGCAGCAGUGGGGAAUCUUGCGCAAUGGGCGAAAGCCUGACGCAGCAACGCCGCGUGCGGGAUGACGGCCUUCGUGGUUGUAAACCGCUUUCAGCAGGGACGAAAAUGACGGUACCUGCAGAAGAAGCCCCGGCUAACUACGUG
RNAcentral lists this ribosomal RNA (474 nucleotides) under uncultured bacterium. RNAcentral describes it as "bacterial SSU rRNA". It matches the Rfam family "Bacterial small subunit ribosomal RNA", at positions 20 to 507 of the family's 1533-position model. The record is from RNAcentral.